This 1451-nucleotide ribosomal RNA is filed under the name Staphylococcus sp. C23. RNAcentral describes it as "bacterial SSU rRNA". It matches the Rfam family "Bacterial small subunit ribosomal RNA". Lineage: Bacteria; Bacillati; Bacillota; Bacilli; Caryophanales; Staphylococcaceae. The record is from RNAcentral.
CGGCGUGCCUAAUACAUGCAAGUCGAAGCGAACAGAUAAGGAGCUUGCUCCUUUGACGUUAGCGGCGGACGGGUGAGUAACACGUGGGUAACCUACCUAUAAGACUGGAAUAACUCCGGGAAACCGGGGCUAAUGCCGGAUAACAUGUUGAACCGCAUGGUUCUACAGUGAAAGACGGUCUUGCUGUCACUUAUAGAUGGACCCGCGCCGUAUUAGCUAGUUGGUGGGGUAACGGCCUACCAAGGCGACGAUACGUAGCCGACCUGAGAGGGUGAUCGGCCACACUGGAACUGAGACACGGUCCAGACUCCUACGGGAGGCAGCAGUAGGGAAUCUUCCGCAAUGGGCGAAAGCCUGACGGAGCAACGCCGCGUGAGUGAUGAAGGUCUUCGGAUCGUAAAGCUCUGUUGUUAGGGAAGAACAAAUGUGUAAGUAACUGUGCACAUCUUGACGGUACCUAACCAGAAAGCCACGGCUAACUACGUGCCAGCAGCCGCGGUAAUACGUAGGUGGCAAGCGUUAUCCGGAAUUAUUGGGCGUAAAGCGCGCGUAGGCGGUUUUUUAAGUCUGAUGUGAAAGCCCACGGCUCAACCGUGGAGGGUCAUUGGAAACUGGAAAACUUGAGUGCAGAAGAGGAAAGUGGAAUUCCAUGUGUAGCGGUGAAAUGCGCAGAGAUAUGAGGAGGAACACCAGUGGCGAAGGCGGCUUUCUGGUCUGCAACUGACGCUGAUGUGCGAAAGCGUGGGGAUCAAACAGGAUUAGAUACCCUGGUAGUCCACGCCGUAAACGAUGAGUGCUAAGUGUUAGGGGGUUUCCGCCCCUUAGUGCUGCAGCUAACGCAUUAAGCACUCCGCCUGGGGAGUACGGUCGNAAGACUGAAACUCAAAGGAAUUGACGGGGACCCGCACAAGCGGUGGAGCAUGUGGUUUAAUUCGAAGCAACGCGAAGAACCUUACCAAAUCUUGACAUCCUUUGACCGCUCUAGAGAUAGAGUUUUCCUCUUCGGAGGACAAAGUGACAGGUGGUGCAUGGUUGUCGUCAGCUCGUGUCGUGAGAUGUUGGGUUAAGUCCCGCAACGAGCGCAACCCUUGAACUUAGUUGCCAUCAUUCAGUUGGGCACUCUAAGUUGACUGCCGGUGACAAACCGGAGGAAGGUGGGGAUGACGUCAAAUCAUCAUGCCCCUUAUGAUUUGGGCUACACACGUGCUACAAUGGACAAUACAAAGGGCAGCGAAACCGCGAGGUCAAGCAAAUCCCAUAAAGUUGUUCUCAGUUCGGAUUGUAGUCUGCAACUCGACUACAUGAAGCUGGAAUCGCUAGUAAUCGUAGAUCAGCAUGCUACGGUGAAUACGUUCCCGGGUCUUGUACACACCGCCCGUCACACCACGAGAGUUUGUAACACCCGAAGCCGGUGGAGUAACCAUUUUGGAGUAGCCGUCGAAGGUGGGACA